CCUACGGGAGGCAGCAGUGGGGAAUAUUGCACAAUGGAGGAAACUCUGAUGCAGCGACGCCGCGUGAGUGAAGAAGUAGUUUCGCUAUGUAAAGCUCUAUCAGCAGGGAAGAUAGUGACGGUACCUGACUAAGAAGCUCCGGCUAAAUACGUGCCAGCAG
RNAcentral lists this ribosomal RNA (160 nucleotides) under uncultured bacterium. RNAcentral's name for it is "partial 16S ribosomal RNA". It matches the Rfam family "Bacterial small subunit ribosomal RNA", at positions 338 to 514 of the family's 1533-position model. The record is from RNAcentral.